Molecule: ribosomal RNA, 275 nt
Filed under: uncultured bacterium
Lineage: Bacteria
Description: partial 16S ribosomal RNA
Rfam family: Bacterial small subunit ribosomal RNA
Source: RNAcentral
CCUACGGGGGGCUGCAGUAAGGAAUAUUGGUCAAUGGAGGCAACUCUGAACCAGCCAUGCCGCGUGCAGGAUGACGGUCCUAUGGAUUGUAAACUGCUUUUGUACGAGAGAAAACCCCGUUACGUGUAGCGGGUUGAUAGUAUCGUAAGAAUAAGGAUCGGCUAACUUCGUGCCAGCAGCCGCGGUAAGACGAAGGAUCCAAGCGUUAUCCGGAUUCAUUGGGUUUAAAGGGUGCGUAGGCGGGUUUAUAAGUCAGUGGUGAAAGCUAGCAGCUU